GGCAGCCCUGAUCCAGCAAUGCCGCGUGAGUGAAGAAGGCCUUCGGGUUGUAAAGCUCUUUUGUCAGGGAAGAAACACCGGCUCUAACACAGUCCGGGAAUGACGGUACCUGAAGAAUAAGCACCGGCUAACUACGUGCCAGCAGCCGCGGUAAUACGUAGGGUGCGAGCGUUAAUCGGAAUUACUGGGCGUAAAGCGUGCGCAGGCGGUUAUACAAGACAGGCGUGAAAUCCCCGGGCUUAACCUGGGAAUGGCGCCUGUGACUGUAUAGCUAGAGUGUGUCAGAGGGGGGUAGAAUUCCA
RNAcentral lists this ribosomal RNA (302 nucleotides) under uncultured beta proteobacterium. Its description in RNAcentral is "bacterial SSU rRNA". It matches the Rfam family "Bacterial small subunit ribosomal RNA", at positions 376 to 671 of the family's 1533-position model. Lineage: Bacteria; Pseudomonadati; Pseudomonadota; Betaproteobacteria. The record is from RNAcentral.